Molecule: non-coding RNA, 1028 nt
Organism: Hypomesus transpacificus
Lineage: Eukaryota; Metazoa; Chordata; Actinopteri; Osmeriformes; Osmeridae
Source: the annotation of a RefSeq genome assembly
UCAUUGUCAGAAGGAGGGGCUGUGGAACUGCAUAAAGAUGUUCAGGUGGCAGCUGUUUCUGAAAUAGUGGAAUUCCUUUCUCUGUUAUUUCAGUUGAUCCUUUUGUCAAGAUGAUGCUCCACUCAUCUGUCAUCUUUUUAGCUUUAUUAGAAUCUGUUAAUGGAGAUUCAAUAAACCCUAAGAAAACACAGGAGCAGAUUGUGGAGGAAAGUAAUGUCAAUCUGACCUGCAAUUAUGAUGGCACCAUUUACAAUAUACAGUGGUACCGCCAGUAUCCACAAUGUAAACCAGAAUUCCUUCUCUCCAUCACAGAAGACGGGUCCAUAAUUAAAGCUACCACACCAUUUCCUCGUCUGUCAUCUUACAUUCACAAGAAAGACAAGCUUGUGCAGCUGGAGAUUUCAGCUGCUGAAGUGACAGACUCUGCUCUGUACUACUGUGCAAUGACGCCCACAAUGACAGGAAAUGUAGACUCACCGUACAAAAACCUCAAGUAAACCCUUAGAAGCAAUGUUUCAGUUGAGAGACAUAAUACACUGAUCCUGGAAACCUUGUACCUAGAACUUUAUUAUGAAUGUCGUGGAGUAAUCUUCCCAAGUAAACAAAUACAUUGUGUACCGUCCAAAACUGUUGACUCUUUGAGCAAUACUUGUAUCUUCUAAUUUCUCAUUUAUAUAAUAUUCUGUGAUAUGAGUCACACUCAAACAAUACUUCCACAGAUAAUUAAUAUUUUGAUACUGUGUCAAAUACAUGAGAUCAAUAUAGAUAGACAGAUAGAUAGACAGAUAGAUAGAUAGACAGAUAGAUAGAUAGACAGAGAGAUUGAUUAUUUGAAGAUUAGAAGGAGUGACCUCUAAGUAAUCAGACAAUGAACAAUUAAAAAGUGUCUAUGUGGUGCUUAGUAUUUGCAGUUUGUCAGUACCUUAUUUCAGUAUUUAAGUCUGAAGUGUGCUUGGUGACACACACUAUGUCUUGUACCAUGCACUACCAUCUUCAUUAAUGACACCAAAGGGAGGGGCUAAUGUUCG